RNAcentral lists this ribosomal RNA (232 nucleotides) under uncultured bacterium. RNAcentral describes it as "partial 16S ribosomal RNA". It matches the Rfam family "Bacterial small subunit ribosomal RNA", at positions 89 to 338 of the family's 1533-position model. The record is from RNAcentral.
UGGGAACCGGCGUAAGGGGCAGUAAGGCAUGGGUACCUACCCUGAAGUUCGGGAUAGCCAUCAGAGAUGGUGGGUAAUACCGGAUGAUGUCGAGAGACCAAAGAUUUAUCGCUUUGGGAGGGGCCCAUGUGAUAUUAGCUAGUUGGUGAGGUAACGGCUCACCAAGGCGAAGAUGUCUAGCGGGUGUGAGAGCACGACCCGCGCCACUCGCACUGAGACACUGGCGAGACAC